RNAcentral lists this ribosomal RNA (1042 nucleotides) under Candidatus Thermoflexus japonica. RNAcentral's name for it is "bacterial LSU rRNA". It matches the Rfam family "Bacterial large subunit ribosomal RNA", at positions 1890 to 2925 of the family's 2925-position model. The record is from RNAcentral. Lineage: Bacteria; Bacillati; Chloroflexota; Thermoflexia; Thermoflexales; Thermoflexaceae.
CCGGCUUCGGCCGGUGUAGCCCUGAACUGAAGCCCCGGUGAACGGCGGCCGUAACUAUAACGGUCCUAAGGUAGCGAAAUUCCUUGUCGGGUAAGUUCCGACCCGCACGAAAGGCGUAACGACUGGGGCGCUGUCCCGAGGAGGGUCCCGGCGAAACUGCGAACUGCGUGAAGACGCGCAGUGCCCGCAGCGGGACAAAAAGACCCCGUGGAGCUUUACUGGAGCCUGGUAUUGGGUUAGGGUUUGGCCUGUGUAGGAUAGGUGGGAGGCUGAGAAGCCCGGGCGCCAGCUCGGGUGGAGCCGCCGGUGAAAUACCACCCUGGUCAAAUCUUGGCCCUAACGCCGACCCGUGAACCCGGGCGGCGGACAGUGCCUGGUUGCCAGUUUUGCUGGGGCGGCAGCCUCCUAAAAGGUAACGGAGGCGCCCAAAGGUCCCCUCAGGCGGAAUGGAAACCCGCCGUUGAGUGCAAGGGCAUAAGGGGGCUUGACUGCGAGGCUGACAAGCCGAGCAGGGGCGAAAGCCGGGCCUAGUGACCCCACGGUUCCGUGUGGAAGGGCCGUGGAUCAACGGAUAAAAGCUACCCCGGGGAUAACAGGCUGGUGAGGCCCAAGAGUUCACAUCGACGGCCUCGCUCGGCACCUCGAUGUCGGCUCAUCGCAUCCUGGGGCUGGACAAGGUCCCAAGGGUCGGGCUGUUCGCCCGUUAAAGCGGUACGUGAGCUGGGUUCAGACCGUCGUGAGACAGGUCGGUCUCUAUCCGCUGUGGGCGUUGGGGGCUUGAGGGGUGCUGCCCCUAGUACGAGAGGACCGGGGUGGACGGACCUCUGGUGUGCCGGUUGUCGCGCCAGCGGCAUCGCCGGGUAGCCAACGUCCGGACGGGAUAACCGCUGAAAGCAUCUAAGCGGGAAGCCCACCCCAAGAUAAGGCCCCCCACCGGCUUUGACCGGGUAAGGCCGCCGGGAGACUACCGGUUUGAUAGGCCGCAGGUGGAAGCCCGGUAACGGGUGAAGCUGAGCGGUACUAACGGCCGAGGGCUUACACG